GAUGAACGCUGGCGGCGUGCCUAAUACAUGCAAGUCGAGCGAACAGACGAGGAUCUUGCUCCUCUGACGUUAGCGGCGGACGGGUGAGUAACACGUGGAUAACCUACCUAUAAGACUUGGAUAACUUCGGGAAACCGGAGCUAAUACCGGAUAAUAUCUUGAACCGCAUGGUUCAAUAGUGAAAGACGGUUUUGCUGUCACUUAUCGAUGGAUCCGCGCCGCAUUAGCUAGUUGGUAAGGUAACGGCUUACCAAGGCAACGAUGCGUAGCCGACCUGAGAGGGUGAUCGGCCACACUGGAACUGAGACACGGUCCAGACUCCUACGGGAGGCAGCAGUAGGGAAUCUUACGCAAUGGGCGAAAGCCUGACGGAGCAACGCCGCGUGAGUGAUGAAGGUCUUCGGAUCGUAAAACUCUGUUAUUAGGGAAGAACAAAUGUGUAAGUAACUAUGCACGUCUUGACGGUACCUAAUCAGAAAGCCACGGCUAACUACGUG
This 497-nucleotide ribosomal RNA is filed under the name uncultured bacterium. Its description in RNAcentral is "partial 16S ribosomal RNA". It matches the Rfam family "Bacterial small subunit ribosomal RNA", at positions 28 to 507 of the family's 1533-position model. The record is from RNAcentral.